This 252-nucleotide ribosomal RNA is filed under the name uncultured prokaryote. RNAcentral describes it as "partial 16S rRNA". The stretch from base 43 to 252 matches the Rfam family "Archaeal small subunit ribosomal RNA", at positions 517 to 726 of the family's 1478-position model. The record is from RNAcentral.
AUUAGAAACCCCUGUAGUCCGGCUGACUGACUCUUACACCAAGUAUCUCGUCUGCCGUCUUCUGCUUGAAAAAAAUAACGCAGCUUAACUGUGGGACUUGCUGGAGAUACUAUUAGACUUGAGGUCGGGAGAGUUUAGGGGUACUCCCAGGGUAGGGGUGAAAUCCUAUAAUCCUGGGAGGACCACCUGUUGAAAAGGCGCCCAACUAGAACGAUCCUGACGAUGAGAAACGAAAGCCAGGCGCGCCAAUAG